GGAGCCGAGUGGCGCUCACGUUUGUGGAGCCGCUGUUGCCCAUGUCAGUUACAAUAGAGGCUUUUGCUCCAGCCACAAACAUAAUCGGAGCACGGCUCGCUGGCUUGCUGCUUCUCUCACUCCACCCCACCCCUCCGCCCCCCAUCAGAGAAGCCGUGACCCGCUCUGCCCCAGAACACUCUCCACGGCCGGCUAUGUCCCGAACAAUUCCCUGGGGUCUGAGCUCCAUCCAGACCGACAGCCUCCGGUUGCACUGUGCAAUCGGGGACUGUCCACACUAGAUGCCAAAGCAGCGCCUGGUUCUGGCUGAGCCCACGACUCUGGUGCUUUUCUGAUCCGCUCUGAGAAGCCUGGCUGAAGAGAUCGGGAACUUUGAGCGGUUUGGCUCUGUUGACGGUUUUACACAAAUUGUUUUCAAGGCGAAAGGUGUCUGGAGAUCAAGCGAGCUCCGCGCAUGCGUUGGUCUGUUGGGAAUUAUUGCUCUGCCUUGGACUAAGUUGCAUUCCUUGGAUCUUCGCAGAAAAGCCAAUUCUUCAGACAGAGUUAGGAAUGUGGACAGUUCACAGUCGAGGGUAUUUUGGGAUUCUCUCGUUCCCCGUGAUGAUAGCCAUGGUCUGCUGUGCGCAAAGCGUUAAUGAGCCUAGCAACAUGUCAUAUGUGAAAGAGACAGUGGACAGAUUGCUCCAUGGAUACGACAUUCGCUUGAGGCCAGACUUUGGAGGUGCUCCUGUUGACGUCGGGAUGAGGAUAGACAUUGCCAAUAUAGACAUGGUCUCAGAGGUCAACAUGGACUACACACUCACAAUGUAUUUCCAGCAGUCCUGGAGGGACAAAAGGCUGUCUUACUCUGGAAUACCUCUGAACCUAACUUUGGACAACAGAGUAGCUGACCAGCUCUGGGUGCCGGACACAUACUUCCAAAAUGACAAGAAGUCAUAUGUUCAUGGGGUUACAGUGAAAAAUCGAAUGAUUCGACUACAUCCUGAUGGAACUGUCCUUUAUGGCCUACGGAUCACAACUACAGCUGCUUGCAUGAUGGAUCUACGUAGAUACCCUCUGGAUGAACAAAACUGCACACUAGAAAUUGAAAGUUAUGGAUACACCACUGAUGAUAUUGAGUUUUACUGGAAUGGAGGGGAAUCUGCAGUAACAGGAGUUAAUAAUAUUGAGCUCCCACAGUUUUCAAUUGUUGAUUACAAGAUGGUAUCAAAAAAAGUGGAAUUUACAACAGGGGCAUAUCCUCGAUUAUCACUUAGUUUUCGGCUUAAACGAAAUAUUGGUUACUUCAUUUUGCAAACCUACAUGCCUUCCACGUUGAUCACAAUUCUAUCGUGGGUAUCUUUUUGGAUCAACUAUGAUGCCUCUGCUGCAAGAGUUGCCCUAGGAAUCACAACUGUGCUGACCAUGACCACAAUAAGCACUCAUCUCAGGGAGACACUGCCAAAGAUUCCCUAUGUAAAGGCAAUAGAUAUUUACCUAAUGGGAUGCUUUGUGUUUGUAUUUCUCGCCUUGCUGGAAUAUGCCUUUGUAAACUACAUAUUCUUUGGGAAAGGUCCUCACCGUCAAAAAAAGGCAGCUGAGAAGGCUACUGAUGAGGAGGGCAAACCAGAGAUGAAUAAAGUCCAGGUACUUGAGUAAAGCUAAUGUUUCAUAUAUUUUUAUUUCUAAUAGGGCAUAAAUGAAAGCAUUAAACAUUUUCCAAAGAAGUUAAUAUAUAAUAAGGGAGUUACUGCAACUAAACUAUGGUGCCUGUCUUCAACUCAAAUAUGGUGCCACAUUUCUGUCAGUGCCAAUGAGCUCAUCAUCCUCAUUGUACUACAUGGCCAGAUAAAAAUACUUACCUACAUUCAUCUGUUGUCCAAAACCAUACAGAGUGACCUCUUAUGCUACAUGGAAAUUCAGUUCAAGACCCUGACACCUAUAGGUACACCACAAAGGGUAACCCCUACACUGUUAAGGGCAUAAGCCAUCCCUUUAUGGAUUAUUCGCUGGAGAUGCUAUCCAUACCUAUGCUGCAUUCAGAUGAGAAGUGGGGAAAACAAGUUAACAGAGGCCAGUUCCAAACACUCACACCUCUGCUCAAACACCCCAAAGCUAUUCUGAUCCAGGUGGAAGGUGGACAGUGAGGAUCCAUGAAGAAAAUAGAGAAGCACCUCUUCUCCAGCAUCAGCCCUGGCUGUGUGGACCCUGGUACAUGAGCAGAUGACUUUGUAGGUGGUCCAUGGAACAGAGGUAAGUUACAUUUUUUCUACAGAUUUGGUGACACCAGUUACAUCUUGCUGACGUUCACCAAAGCCAGUUUAAAACUUUCACUUUGAUCGUAAACUGGCAGAAAUAUUACAGAAAUUAAGAACGUCUGUAUCAGACAAUUGCUUAAUUGAAUUGCCUUUUACACACACUCAACAUAUGCCUGUGACACAUAGGCAUUUAAAUUAAUUGUUAAAGAGAUCCGUCAAUUAAUGAUUUUGUUGUUGUAUUGGUGACUGUAGACAUACUGCAUGCAUGAUCCUCGUAAGUAUCCUUUUGGCUUGCAGUAUGGAAAAUAUUGAUGUUCUAAGGUUGGCUUUAUCUUUCAGUUUUACAUAGGAAGAAUACAUGAUCAGAGCUGCAGGUUGAAAGCUAACUGGUGGAGCUGGUGGAGCUGGAGUAGUUCAUCUGAGCCCUAAUCUACAGAAUUUCCCUAUAUCUUUCAUAUUUCAGCGGUCAGUACCAAAAUAUAGGAAGCUGAUUUCAGAGGGUGAGAGAAGAGCAGCAGUUAAUAGUGCUACUUAUUUCUACCUGAGAUGUGCCCUAGGUAAGGAGGAUGAGUUUCUUCCUACAGCAGAUUCAGCAUAUCUAAUGGCAUAGUGAGACAUGCAAUGAACUGAUUAUGAAAUUGAACCAGCACCUGGAAGAGAAACUGGAUAAGUUUAUGCUCAAAUAAAUUUGGAUGCAGAUAAUGACCUUGUAAUGUUCCACACAUGGUGUUUUUUCUUCCUCAACCUGACAGAGGAGGAAUCCAGGAUCACCACAGUCCUACAUCAAUGUGCCAUUUUUAUUUUUAUAGAUGACGGAAAUUUUUUUAUUCAUUACAAAUAAGCUCUCAUUGUUCUUGGUUCUAUUUUUGAUGAUAAAAUAUUUU
RNA transcript from Chelonia mydas (Green sea turtle), 3121 nucleotides. It is a transcript of the gene named gamma-aminobutyric acid type A receptor subunit beta1, with no coding region annotated. The record is from RefSeq and is a predicted model, not a curated record. The transcript has 9 exons. NCBI's taxonomy places the organism in Eukaryota, Metazoa, Chordata, Testudines, Cheloniidae.